Molecule: ribosomal RNA, 503 nt
Filed under: uncultured bacterium
Lineage: Bacteria
Description: partial 16S ribosomal RNA
Rfam family: Bacterial small subunit ribosomal RNA
Source: RNAcentral
AUUGAACGCUGGCGGCAGGCUUAACACAUGCAAGUCGAGCGGGGUGAUGGUGCUUGCACUAUCACUUAGCGGCGGACGGGUGAGUAAUGCUUAGGAAUCUGCCUAUUAGUGGGGGACAACAUCUCGAAAGGGAUGCUAAUACCGCAUACGUCCUACGGGAGAAAGCAGGGGAUCACUUGUGACCUUGCGCUAAUAGAUGAGCCUAAGUCGGAUUAGCUAGUUGGUGGGGUAAAGGCCUACCAAGGCGACGAUCUGUAGCGGGUCUGAGAGGAUGAUCCGACACAAGGGGACUGAGACACGGCCGAGACUCCUACGGGAGGCAGCAGGGGGGAAUAUUGGACAAUGGGGGGAACCCUGAUCCAGCCAUGCCGCGUGUGUGAAGAAGGCCUUAUGGUUGUAAAGCACUUUAAGCGAGGAGGAGGCUCUUUUGGUUAGCACCCAAGAUGAGUGGACGUUACUCGCAGAAUAAGCACCGGCUAACUCUGUGCCAGCAGCCGCGGUAA